GAUGAACGCUGGCGGCGUGCCUAAUACAUGCAAGUCGAGCGCACAGAUGAGGAGCUUGCUCCUCUGACGUUAGCGGCGGACGGGUGAGUAACACGUGGAUAACCUACCUAUAAGACUGGGAUAACUUCGGGAAACCGGAGCUAAUACCGGAUAAUAUAUUGAACCGCAUGGUUCAAUAGUGAAAGACGGUUUUGCUGUCACUUACAGAUGGAUCCGCGCCGCAUUAGCUAGUUGGUAAGGUAACGGCUUACCAAGGCGCCGAUGCGUAGCCGACCUGAGAGGGUGAUCGGCCACACUGGAACUGGAACACGGUCCAGACUCCUACGGGAGGCGGCGGUAGGGAAUCUUCCGCAAUGGGCGAAAGCCUGACGGAGCAACGCCGCGUGAGUGAUGAAGGUCUUCGGAUCGUAAAACUCUGUUAUUGGGGAAGAACAAAUGUGUAAGUAACUGUGCACGUCUUGACGGUACCUAAUCAGAAAGCCACGGCUAACUACGUG
Molecule: ribosomal RNA, 497 nt
Filed under: uncultured bacterium
Lineage: Bacteria
Description: partial 16S ribosomal RNA
Rfam family: Bacterial small subunit ribosomal RNA
Source: RNAcentral